GGGAUAAUCUGUACUGCCCUAGAAUCAUAGCCACCUUGCUACCACAAAAAGAGAGGAUAUCCUUUUAUAAAAUGUGGUAUAGUGCUCAGCAGGCAGAGAAAUGUGUAAAGAGAGACUGGCCUAGUCUCCCAGUCUACAUCUUUCUCCCGUGCUGGAUGCUUCCUGCCCUCAAAAAUCGGACUCCAAGUUCUUCAGUUUUGGAACUCGGACUGGCUCUCUUUGCUGCUCAGCCUGCAGACAGCCUGUUGGGAGACCUUGUGAUCAUGUAAUACAACCCCACCAGCAAAAGAAGACAAUCCAACACAGACACUAUUUCUCUGGUCAAAUAAAUCC
This 333-nucleotide long non-coding RNA is filed under the name Homo sapiens (human). RNAcentral describes it as "HSALNT0076609". The record is from RNAcentral. Lineage: Eukaryota; Metazoa; Chordata; Mammalia; Primates; Hominidae.